RNAcentral lists this ribosomal RNA (236 nucleotides) under uncultured bacterium. RNAcentral describes it as "partial 16S ribosomal RNA". It matches the Rfam family "Bacterial small subunit ribosomal RNA", at positions 524 to 755 of the family's 1533-position model. The record is from RNAcentral.
UACGUAGGGUGCAAGCGUUGUCCGGAAUUAUUGGGCGUAAAGAGCUCGUAGGCGGUGUGUCGCGUCGGCCGUGAAAAACUUGGGGGCUUAACUCUGAGCGUGCGGUCGAUACGGGCAUCACUUGAGUUCGGCAGGGGAGACUGGAAUUCCUGGUGUAGCGGUGAAAUGCGCAGAUAUCAGGAGGAACACCGGGUGGCGAAGGCGGUUGGCUGGGCCACAACUGGACACUGAGUGCG